UGCUAUAAACACAAAAGCCUCUUUGAUGUC
This 30-nucleotide non-coding RNA is filed under the name Mus musculus (house mouse). Lineage: Eukaryota; Metazoa; Chordata; Mammalia; Rodentia; Muridae. The record is from RNAcentral.